GAGGAGGUUGAAGGCCUGGGAGGAUGGAGGGGGAGGUAGAAUGAGAAGAGGAAGAAAACGGAAAGUGGGGGAGGGGAGGGGUAAAAAAUGGUAAGAAGGAAGGAAGACAGUUAGGGAGGAGGGGAAACAAGAGGUGUUUGAGGACCAGGAGGAGGCGGACAAAGACUUGGGAGUGGAGAGAGAGGGAGUGGAGGAGAAGGGAGGCCAGAAGGAGCGAGCAGGACCAUAGAGCUGGAGCCGGGGUGGAUUUGAAGCAUCUGAGGGCGCGGAAACUAGCCGACCACCAGCCACAGUUGGCCUGCUUCCGGGACACUAAGACUCUAGGGGGAGGUACUCUAGGGGCAGCUGCCUCCUCCAGGAAGUCCUCGAGGAACUUCAGGGAGCAAAACUUAAGGUGGUCUCCCUCCAUUUCAGUGCGGAAAAACAGACCUGAGGGAACCCAUUGUCUCCCUGGGACUCGGAGGCCCCCAGCACUCUAACAAGGCCUCUGAGCCGCUCACUUUUCCCAUCUGGUGGGAAAACUUGAAGCAAAUAGGGACACAGUGGCUUCCGUCCUGGAUUCGGAGGUCUCCACGGUUUCCUCCGUCCGGGCGCCAGGGCGCGGGCUCUGAGCCCCAGUGGCCUGCUUGGCACAGGUGCCUUGCGGCCUGCGCGUCCAGUCGCUCCGCCCCAGUAGACGAGGAGGCCGCUCGCAGGGUCGUCGGGUCACAGGGAGCCGCAGGUUCCGGUCGGGAGGAGGGGCUGGCGCGCCCGGGUCCCCGCCGGCCGUUUGCUUUCAUCUCAGCGGCCGGGGCCGGCCCCCACGUGGCUUAAUCAGGCGCGGCUGUGCCUGGCGGACCUGAACAUCUGGAUCCCGGCGCGGCCCCUCCCCCGCCCCUCCCGGGCUGGGCCUCUCUUCCACCAGCGCACCCUGGGCACGGUCCCUGUGCGCUGGGACCCCAACCGUUUCCUCAAGUCGGACGCCUUGGCAUAUGCCCAUCAUCCCAACACGCGGAAAGGCUGAGGCAGAAGAAUCGGUGCGAGGUCCAGGUCAAUCUGGGUUAGGACGUGGGAAACCUGGCACCCGGACGCCUGGGCAGAGCCGGAAUUCAAGUUCACACUUGUCAUUUGCAGAGUCCCGGGCACUUAACCCUUCUGCAAUUACGGUCCUUCAUUCAAUUUCAAACAAACACUCCUUUCAACAAAGAUUUUCUUGCCAUGACUUUUUUCUCUGACAAAAACCCUAUAGGGUAGGGCUGUCCCCCUUCCAAAUUAGGUCAUUGGAACCCGGAAUGGCACAGGGGAUGGGCUUAGGUGACAUGAUACAGAAGAGGGCUAACAGAGGCUGCCAAGCUAGGGAGGAUGGGGGCUGAUGACAAGGCGGGCCUGACAGUCUCAACAAGAAAGACCGAGACAGGAGGAUGGCCGAAAAAUCGAGGCUAGCUUGGGCCACGUGACACCGUGUGUGUGUGUGUGUGGGGGGUCAUCGUCCAGUGUAAAAAAGAACUUCCCAUGACUCUUUGCAGAGAGAGAAACUGAGGCAUGAGGGUUUGAGUCAGAGCGACCCAGGGCUGAAAGUAAGUUUGUUGGCUUCCAGCACCCCCUCCUUUUCCGCUCCCCGAGGCCGCUGGGGGUAAGCGGAAGAGGACUUGACCCCGGCCCCCCAGGUGAGCCCCGACGCCCCUCCUGGCGUUCCCGGGGGAGCUGGCCCAGGUGAGGGGCGGGCGGCCGGCGGGCGGCCGGGGUCGGAUUUCAGGAAAUCCGCCGACAUUCCUUCGGGGCUUAAGAGGGAAAGUUGACUCGCCGCCGCCCCGCGUUCCCCCCCCCCUCCACUUCCUACCCCCCGGGGCGGCGCGGCGGGGGCGGGGGGCGCUGUCCGCGUGAAUCAGCGGACUCCCGGCGUCCGGGAAGCAGCCACCCGGUCAGGGCAGGCCGCAGACAAGCGCCCUUUGUCCCUGGCCGCCUUCGUCACGACCCUGCUGACCCCCACCCCCAAACGGAGUCCAGCCCGGCAAGGCAGGGUGGCGCCGCUGCCUGCUGUCAAGGGAGGAGCGAUGAGAGGAGGGGUGCGGUGCUUCCCCCAUACGACUGGCUAUCCUGGGACUCAGCAACAGUCUUUUGAGGAUGCAGAGGAACAAGGACCACAGACUUGGUUGGCCCCAGAGCACCCAAAUCCAGACUGGGACCUCCCCACAUCCAUAUCUAGUACUUAAGUUGCAAAACACUAUAAAAUUGAGGUCUGGUGUCCCUACUGUCUAGGCUGUCCCCGGGAGAAAGGCUGGAGCACCCAUAGGCCCUCAAGCAGACUCUCAAUACCCCAUUGCUCAGAGCGCAGCCAGGUACAGGCAGGAGGGGGAGGGCUGCUCCUGGAGGAAUGGUCGGUCACAGGGAAGGGCAGGUCCCCGCUCUGCCCUUCUGAGUCCGGCAGGCUUUGAUUUUUACUGGCCCUGCUGCUCUAGCAAAGCUUUAGUGGUUCACAUUUGGGAAUCUGAGGCUGGGGAAAUUUCUCUGAUUUAAACCUGCCUUGUUCCUCCACAGGAGAUUCCUGGGUAAAAUGUUCAGGGCUAAUAAAGAGCCCUUCCACCCACCCCUUCUAACAUUCCCAGCCACCUUCAAUGACUUAGGUCAAUAUUUGUCAGAAAGUACACCAUAACUACCUUCCUUUCCUAAGCAAAGAAAGGCCUGGACUGGCGAGGAAAGAGUUAAUUCCACGGGAACACAGGGAAAGGAUGGGUGCACCUUAAGGCCAACUUCUUUGCCCCAAAGGGUAAAAAGGUCAUCCAGAGGGUAGGGGUUAAACACCAGAGAGGGCUGUGCCAGUU
Mus musculus (house mouse) is the source of this 2801-nucleotide long non-coding RNA. RefSeq annotates it as RIKEN cDNA 1700020G03 gene. The record is from RefSeq and is a predicted model, not a curated record. The transcript is spliced from 2 exons. Lineage: Eukaryota; Metazoa; Chordata; Mammalia; Rodentia; Muridae.